GGGGGGCAGCAGUGGGGAAUAUUGGACAAUGGGGGCAACCCUGAUCCAGCCAUGCCGCGUGAGUGAUGAAGGCCUUAGGGUUGUAAAGCUCUUUCACCGGUGAAGAUAAUGACGGUAACCGGAGAAGAAGCCCCGGCUAACUUCGUGCCAGCAGCCGCGGUAAUACGAAGGGGGCUAGCGUUGUUCGGAUUUACUGGGCGUAAAGCGCACGUAGGCGGAUAUUUAAGUCAGAGGUGAAAUCCCAGGGCUCAACCCUGGAACUGCCUUUGAUACUGGGUAUCUUGAGUAUGGAAGAGGUGAGUGGAAUUCCGAGUGUAGAGGUGAAAUUCGUAGAUAUUCGGAGGAACACCAGUGGCGAAGGCGGCUCACUGGUCCAUUACUGACGCUGAGGUGCGAAAGCGUGGGGAGCAAACAGGAUUAGAUACCCCUG
RNAcentral lists this ribosomal RNA (430 nucleotides) under uncultured bacterium. RNAcentral describes it as "bacterial SSU rRNA". It matches the Rfam family "Bacterial small subunit ribosomal RNA", at positions 343 to 789 of the family's 1533-position model. The record is from RNAcentral.